CGCGAGCUGCUGCCAGUUCCGUGUCGGCAGCGAGUUUACCAGCCACGCACCGCCUGCACGCGCUCAAUCCGCCGCCGGGCUGUAACGAUCUGACUCUCUCUGGCUUUCGGAGAGCCCUGUUUUCAGUCUCCAUUAACGGCCCAGCACAGAGCGAGGCGAGACGAUUCGUAACGGGUCACUCUCCCAACAAUAAUGUCUUCAGAUUGGAGUUACAGCUGCCUCAAAACCGAGGCGAUGACAAAAUCACAGUGGCAACCCUGUGUUGGUGCACAGGCAGAGCUGUGACUCUAGCUUGCGAUCUCCUGACCUCUGUGACCUUUGAGUCGAGAUGGCGACCCACCGAAAGCACCUGGUCCGAGAUUUCAACCGAUACAUCACCUGCUCAAUUUGCCGUGGGUACCUGAUAAAGCCUACUGCUGUCACAGAAUGCCUGCACACUUUUUGUAAGAGUUGUAUCGUUCAGCACUUUGAGGAGAGUAAUGAGUGUCCGGAAUGUGGAAUACAAGUCCAUGAAACCAACCCUU
Sinocyclocheilus grahami is the source of this 524-nucleotide long non-coding RNA. RefSeq lists it as uncharacterized. NCBI's taxonomy places the organism in Eukaryota, Metazoa, Chordata, Actinopteri, Cypriniformes, Cyprinidae. The transcript is spliced from 3 exons. The record is from RefSeq and is a predicted model, not a curated record.